GGGGGUGAUCCGGUUUCGACGGGAUGUGUUGAGGUCAGAUCGCGCAUCGUGGAUUCUCGUUGGCCACGCUAAAAAGCGAGAAAAAACAGUAAUUGCGAACAACGAUUACGCUCUUGCCGCCUAAAUAACAGGCCGCAUGUCGAAGCGCCGAUGUCUGCUGAGCGCCUAGGCAUAAUUUAGCAGAUCACGCUGCAGGGAGCUCCGCUCGCCCGCUGCAGGGUGCCGAAUCGAACGGUUGGUUGGAGAUAAGCCUGUCGCUUGGCGUACUCCAGCCGAGAUCAAUAACCGACUAUGUGCGUAGAAGUUUGGUCAAUGCCAUUUCGGACAGGGGUUCGACUCCCCUCACCUCCACCA
Molecule: transfer-messenger RNA, 354 nt
Filed under: human gut metagenome
Rfam family: transfer-messenger RNA
About the family: Bacterial tmRNA, also known as 10Sa RNA or SsrA, is named for its dual tRNA and mRNA-like properties. Its role is to liberate the mRNA from a stalled ribosome.
Source: RNAcentral